AUGCAAGUCGAACGAGAAAGUGGAGCAAUCCAUGAGUAAAGUGGCGACCGGGUGAGUAACACGUGACUAACCUACCUUCGAGUGGGGGAUAACCUAGGGAAACCUGGGCUAAUACCGCAUAAUAUCUUUGGAGUGGAAAUUCUGGAGAUCAAAAGAGCAAUUUGCUUGAAGAGGGGGUCGCGGCUGAUUAGCUAGUUGGCGGGGUAAUGGCCCACCAAGGCUUUGAUCGGUAGCCGGCCUGAGAGGGCGCACGGCCACACUGGAACUGAAACACGGUCCAGACUCCUACGGGAGGCAGCAGUGGGGAAUUUUGCGCAAUGGGGGAAACCCUGACGCAGCAACGCCGCGUGGAGGAUGAAGUCCCUUGGGACGUAAACUCCUUUCGACCGGGACGAUUAUGACGGUACCGGUGGAAGAAGCCCCGGCUAACUUCGUGCCAGCAGCCGCGGUAAUACGAGGGGGGCAAGCGUUGUUCGGAAUUAUUGGGCGUAAAGGGCGCGUAGGCGGUGCGGUAAGUCACCUGUGAAAUCUCCGGGCUUAACUCGGAGCCUGCAGGCGAAACUGCCGUGCUGGAGUAUGGGAGAGGUGCGUGGAAUUCCCGGUGUAGCGGUGAAAUGCGUAGAUAUCGG
This 629-nucleotide ribosomal RNA is filed under the name uncultured soil bacterium. Its description in RNAcentral is "bacterial SSU rRNA". It matches the Rfam family "Bacterial small subunit ribosomal RNA", at positions 55 to 700 of the family's 1533-position model. The record is from RNAcentral.